This 538-nucleotide ribosomal RNA is filed under the name uncultured bacterium. RNAcentral describes it as "bacterial SSU rRNA". It matches the Rfam family "Bacterial small subunit ribosomal RNA", at positions 373 to 901 of the family's 1533-position model. The record is from RNAcentral.
GGACGAAAGUCUGACGGAGCAACGCCGCGUGAGUGAAGAAGGUUUUCGGAUCGUAAAACUCUGUCGUUUGGGACGAACGUGCUUUGGGUAAAUAAUUUAAAGUAAUGACGGUACCAAAGGAGGAAGCCACGGCUAACUACGUGCCAGCAGCCGCGGUAAUACGUAGGUGGCAAGCGUUGUCCGGAAUUAUUGGGCGUAAAGGGCGUGUAGGUGGAUUCUUAAGUCGUGUGUCUAAGUGCGGGGCUCAACCCCGUAUGGGCGCAGGAAACUGGGGAUCUUGAGUGCAGGAGAGGAAAGUGGAAUUCCCAGUGUAGUGGUGAAAUGCGUAGAUAUUGGGAGGAACACCAGUGGCGAAGGCGACUUUCUGGACUGUGUCUGACACUGAGGCGCGAAAGUUAGGGGAGCGAACGGGAUUAGAUACCCCGGUAGUCCUAGCCGUAAACGAUGGGUACUAGGUGUAGGAGGUAUCGACCCCUCCUGUGCCGGAGUUAACGCAAUAAGUACCCCGCCUGGGGAGUACGGCCGCAAGGUUGAAACU